CGCCAGCAGCCGCGGUAAUACGUAGGGGGCAAGCGUUGUCCGGAUUUAUUGGGCGUAAAGCGCACGCAGGCGGUCUGCCAAGUUCGGAGUGACAGUUUCCGGCUUAACCGGAAAAGGUCUUCGAAAACUGGUGGACUUGAGGACUUGAGAGGGAGACGGAAUUCCGGGUGGAGCGGUGAAAUGCGUAGAGAUCCGGAGGAACACCAAAUGCGAAGGCAGUCUCCUGGCAAGUUCCUGACGCUCAGGUGCGAAAGCUAGGGGAGCGAACAGGAUUAGAUACCCUGGUAGUCCUAGCCGUAAACGAUGACCACUAGGCGUGGGGGGGAUCGACCCCUUCCGUGCCGCAGCUUACGCAUUAAGUGGUCCGCCUGGGGAGUACGGUCGCAAGAUUAAAACUCAAAGGAAUUGACGGGGGCCCGCACA
This 423-nucleotide ribosomal RNA is filed under the name uncultured bacterium. Its description in RNAcentral is "bacterial SSU rRNA". It matches the Rfam family "Bacterial small subunit ribosomal RNA", at positions 506 to 927 of the family's 1533-position model. The record is from RNAcentral.